RNAcentral lists this ribosomal RNA (654 nucleotides) under Ewingella sp. CB21(2010). RNAcentral describes it as "bacterial SSU rRNA". It matches the Rfam family "Bacterial small subunit ribosomal RNA", at positions 128 to 776 of the family's 1533-position model. Lineage: Bacteria; Pseudomonadati; Pseudomonadota; Gammaproteobacteria; Enterobacterales; Yersiniaceae. The record is from RNAcentral.
GCCAGAUGGAGGGGGAUAACUACUGGAAACGGUAGCUAAUACCGCAUGACCUCGAAAGAGCAAAGUGGGGGACCUUCGGGCCUCACGCCAUCGGAUGUGCCCAGAUGGGAUUAGCUAGUAGGUGAGGUAAUGGCUCACCUAGGCGACGAUCCCUAGCUGGUCUGAGAGGAUGACCAGCCACACUGGAACUGAGACACGGUCCAGACUCCUACGGGAGGCAGCAGUGGGGAAUAUUGCACAAUGGGCGCAAGCCUGAUGCAGCCAUGCCGCGUGUGUGAAGAAGGCCUUCGGGUUGUAAAGCACUUUCAGCGAGGAGGAAGGCAUUAAGGUUAAUAACCUUAGUGAUUGACGUUACUCGCAGAAGAAGCACCGGCUAACUCCGUGCCAGCAGCCGCGGUAAUACGGAGGGUGCAAGCGUUAAUCGGAAUUACUGGGCGUAAAGCGCACGCAGGCGGUUUGUUAAGUCAGAUGUGAAAUCCCCGAGCUUAACUUGGGAACUGCAUUUGAAACUGGCAAGCUAGAGUCUUGUAGAGGGGGGGUAGAAUUCCAGGUGUAGCGGUGAAAUGCGUAGAGAUCUGGAGGAAUACCGGUGGCGAAGGCGGCCCCCUGGACAAAGACUGACGCUCAGGUGCGGAGGCGUGGGGAGCAAACAGG